RNAcentral lists this unclassified non-coding RNA (1830 nucleotides) under Acyrthosiphon pisum (pea aphid). RNAcentral's name for it is "uncharacterized LOC100162461, transcript variant X3". The record is from RNAcentral. Lineage: Eukaryota; Metazoa; Arthropoda; Insecta; Hemiptera; Aphididae.
AUAACUUAAUGAGUAAUGACCGUUUUUUUUGGAAAUCCACAAAAUUAUAAAUUUAACCCAGAUAAGCUUAAUUAUUUAAACUUUAAACUAUAGUUUAUAGUUCUUUUUAGCUUAUUAAUCCAAGUAAAAGUGCAAACAUAAUUUUGAUUUCAGACCUUUUGUUCUGUAUUUUGUGAUGAUCUUCUGAACAAGUAAAGCUUUACCACUUGUACAUCAUAAUUUUACAUUAUGAAGGCUUUUUUGGAAUUGGUACGUGACCGUUUCACCAAGGUUGACUUAAUGCAUUUAGAUGAUAUUGAUGAUGAAAAUCUCCAAUUAUUGAUAUUCCAGAAUGGGCCAAGCAGGGAUGAAUUGAUAAAGGUUUUGAUAUAUAAAUUGUUGUUGGAUACUGAUCCUGAGUCUGAAUGCUCAAAUACAUAUGAUUUAGAAUAUAUACUUGUGUCAUUUGGUUUGUUGGACAAAAUAGCUGCACAAAAUUUUUUAAAGGGUAAUAUGUCAAUUAAGUUACAUACAGCUACAUGGAAAAAAAUUAUUGAAUCUUUGAUACCAACUACAACAGUCGCAAUUCCGAGUUAUGAUGAACUAAUGAAUGAUAUUUACGAAAAGAGUAAUUAUUUUCGAUCUGCUGAAAAGAAAAAUUAUCUUCCUCCAGAACUUAUAUCAAAGUUAAAAGUUGAAACAGAAUUAAACGAAAACAGUGAAAGUAUUGAUGACAUUUCAGACCAGUUAAUCAAGAUCAUAAAUAAACCAAUAUUACCUAAUGAAAAUAUUGAUUUUAAAACAUCCUCAGAUUGUGAGGAACAACCACCAGAUACAAGCUCAGAAUUUAUGGAUUUGACAUCAAUAAAAAAAGAAGUUGAUCAAUGUAUUAAGAUUUCAAAUAAUAAAAACAUAACUCCAUUAAGUAAUGAGGGCGCAAUCAAAAUUUCUACACAAGAGUUUCUUGAAAUAAUAGAUAAACGAAAUUUAAUUCAUUCUGAUAAUUUAGAAUCAAAAAUAGAAGAUAUCUAUAAGCUUAUGAAAGCUGAACAAGAUUUACAAAUUUUAGCAGAUUCACUUAUAGCUCAGGUAUAAUACUACAAAUUAUUUAUUAAAUUUGUAAUACCUACUAAUAAUACAAUAAUAACAAGUCUACGUAGGAUAGCAGAGAAUGUCAGAGAAACACAAUGUGUCAUCAUAAACAAUAGUUAAUAAUAUUUAAAUUAAAUUUGUAUAGUAAUAUUUUGAAAAUCCACAUAUUUUUGAGUGAGAAGUUUUAUAUUUUCUACAUUUUUAUUUGUUAUCUAAUGUUUAGUAAGAAAGAUUCAUAUGGUAAAUUAUUUGAUACUUAUAAAAUAAUAUAAAAUUAUAUAUUAUAUUGAAUUUUUAAUUUCUUACAUAUUCCUUUAUAUUAUACUAAUUGUAGUAUAAAAAUAUAGAAAUAUUUAGAUACAAUUUGUGGACUUUUCAAUACAAUUAUAAUGAAAAACUUGUUUGUAAUUUUACUUUUUUGAAAAUUCCACUCUAAAUGCUUGCACUUGGUAAUAGUUGUAAAUGGUAGUAAUAUGUUUAAAGCUCUAUUUAUUAUGGAAGUAAAAUUAGUAUUAAUAAUAUGUUUACAAUAUUAAGAUUUUUUUACAACAUUUAAAAUACACCAAACUUUAUUAUUAAUAUUGGUAUUUAAUAUUUAAGUCUUCACUUUUAAACUUAAGAUGUAAUUUUUGAGUUUUCAGGGUUAUUUAAAGUUAAAAUAUUAAUGUGUUUAAGUUAAGUUUUAAGUUUAUAUUUUUUAUAUUAAAAAAAAAAAAAUUGAAUAAUGUAAUAAUAUAUAUUUGAAUAUUAUGUAAAAAA